GUGGGGAAUAUUGCGCAAUGGGGGAAACCCUGACGCAGCAACGCCGCGUGAGUGAUGAAGGCUUUCGAGUCGUAAAACUCUGUCUUUGGGGACGAAUAAUGACGGUACCCAAGGAGGAAGCCCCGGCUAACUACGUGCCAGCAGCCGCGGUAAUACGUAGGGGGCAAGCGUUGUCCGGAAUCACUGGGCGUAAAGGGCGCGUAGGCGGUUUGUUAAGUCAGGUGUGAAAGUUUUCAGCUUAACUGGAAAAGUGCACUUGAAACUAACUUACUUGAGUACUGGAGAGGUAAGCGGAAUUCCUAGUGUAGCGGUGAAAUGCGUAGAUAUUAGGAAGAACACCGGUGGCGAAGGCGGCUUACUGGACAGAGACUGACGCUGAGGCGCGAAAGCGUGGGGAGCGAACAGGAUUAGAAACCCCGGUAGUCC
Molecule: ribosomal RNA, 426 nt
Filed under: uncultured bacterium
Lineage: Bacteria
Description: partial 16S ribosomal RNA
Rfam family: Bacterial small subunit ribosomal RNA
Source: RNAcentral